AACGAACGCUGGUGGCGUGCCUCAUACAUGCAAGUCGAGCGAGGCUUCGAGUCGAGCGGCGUACGGGUGAGUAUCGCGUGAGUAACCUACCCUAUAGUUGGGAAUAACCCCCCUAACGGGGGACUAAUACCGAAUAUUGAGUGGCACUGCAUAGUGCUUAGUCGAAAGGGCGCAAGCCCGCUAAAGGAUGGACUCGCGUCUGAUUAGCUAGUUGGAGGGUAACGGCCCACCAAGGCGAUGAUCAGUAGCCGACCUGAGAGGGUGAUCGGCCACAAUGGGACUGAGACACGGCCCAUACUCCUACGGGAGGCAGCAGUAGGGAAUCUUGCGCAAUGGACGAAGUCUGACGCAGCAACGCCACGUGUGGGACGACGCCUUUCGGGGUGUAAACCACUGUUAGCAGGGACUAGCCUACGACGUAGGUCGUACCGAAUGUACCUGCAGAGAAAGCACCGGCAAACUUCGUGCCAGCAAGCCGGGUAGGCUACGUAGA
Molecule: ribosomal RNA, 493 nt
Filed under: uncultured bacterium
Lineage: Bacteria
Description: bacterial SSU rRNA
Rfam family: Bacterial small subunit ribosomal RNA
Source: RNAcentral